UACGGGGGGAGCAAGCGUUGUUCGGAUUUACUGGGCGUAAAGGGCGCGCAGGCGGUCGCGUGGGCCAUCGCGUGAAAGCCCCCGGCUCAACCGGGCGGUGGCGGGUGGGACCGCGCGGCUGGAGGGUGGUAGGGGCCGGUGGAAUUCCCGGUGUAGUGGUGAAAUGCGUAGAUACCGGGAGGAACACCCGCAGCGAAGGCGGCCGGCUGGGCCAACCCUGACGCUGAGGCGCGAAGGCUCGGGGAGCGAACGGG
Molecule: ribosomal RNA, 254 nt
Filed under: uncultured bacterium
Lineage: Bacteria
Description: partial 16S ribosomal RNA
Rfam family: Bacterial small subunit ribosomal RNA
Source: RNAcentral